UACGGGGGGAGCAAGCGUUGUUCGGAUUUACUGGGCGUAAAGGGCGCGUAGGCGGCCGAUCAAGUCGGGGGUGAAAGCCUGUGGCUUAACCACAGAAUGGCCUUCGAUACUGUUUGGCUUGAGACCGGAAGAGGUUAGUGGAACUGCGAGUGUAGAGGUGAAAUUCGUAGAUAUUCGCAAGAACACCAGUGGCGAAGGCGGCUGACUGGUCCGGUUCUGACGCUGAGGCGCGAAAGCGUGGGGAGCAAACAGG
RNAcentral lists this ribosomal RNA (253 nucleotides) under uncultured bacterium. RNAcentral describes it as "partial 16S ribosomal RNA". It matches the Rfam family "Bacterial small subunit ribosomal RNA", at positions 524 to 776 of the family's 1533-position model. The record is from RNAcentral.